RNAcentral lists this ribosomal RNA (419 nucleotides) under uncultured bacterium. Its description in RNAcentral is "bacterial SSU rRNA". It matches the Rfam family "Bacterial small subunit ribosomal RNA", at positions 50 to 476 of the family's 1533-position model. The record is from RNAcentral.
UACACAUGCAAGUCGAGCGGAGACUUCGGUCUUAGCGGCGAACGGGUGAGGAAUGCCUGGGAAUCUGCCUGUUAGUGGGGGAUAACGUUCCGAAAGGAACGCUAAUACCGCAUACGUCCUACGGGAGAAAGCAGGGGACCUUCGGGCCUUGCGCUAACAGAUGAGCCCAGGUCGGAUUAGCUAGUUGGUGGGGUAAAGGCUCACCAAGGCGACGAUCCGUAGCUGGUCUCAGAGGAUGAUCAGCCACACUGGAACUGAGACCCGGUCCAGACUCCUACGGGAGGCAGCAGUGGGGAAUAUUGGACAAUGGGCGAAAGCCUGAUCCAGCCAUGCCGCGUGUGUGAAGAAGGCCUUCGGGUUGUAAAGCACUUUAAGCGGGGAGGAAGUACUUGGGGCUAAUACCCCUGAGUGUUGACGUU